ACUAUAGCUUGACACUGAACAUUGAGCCUUGAUGUGUAGGAUAGGUGGGAGGCUUUGAAGUGUGGACGCCAGUCUGCAUGGAGCCGACCUUGAAAUACCACCCUUUAAUGUUUGAUGUUCUAACGUGGACCCGUAAUCCGGGUUGCGGACAGUGUCUGGUGGGUAGUUUGACUGGGGCGGUCUCCUCCUAAAGAGUAACGGAGGAGCACGAAGGUUGGCUAAUCCUGGUCGGACAUCAGGAGGUUAGUGCAAUGGCAUAAGCCAGCUUGACUGCGAGCGUGACGGCGCGAGCAGGUGCGAAAGCAGGUCAUAGUGAUCCGGUGGUUCUGAAUGGAAGGGCCAUCGCUCAACGGAUAAAAGGUACUCCGGGGAUAACAGGCUGAUACCGCCCAAGAGUUCAUAUCGACGGCGGUGUUUGGCACCUCGAUGUCGGCUCAUCACAUCCUGGGGCUGAAGUAGGUCCCAAGGGUAUGGCUGUUCGCCAUUUAAAGUGGUACGCGAGCUGGGUUUAGAACGUCGUGAGACAGUUCGGUCCCUA
Molecule: ribosomal RNA, 538 nt
Filed under: Escherichia coli
Lineage: Bacteria; Pseudomonadati; Pseudomonadota; Gammaproteobacteria; Enterobacterales; Enterobacteriaceae
Description: partial 23S ribosomal RNA
Rfam family: Bacterial large subunit ribosomal RNA
Source: RNAcentral